GCAAGUCGAGCGCCCCGCAAGGGGAGCGGCAGACGGGUGAGUAACGCGUGGGAAUCUACCUUUUACUACGGAAUAACGCAGGGAAACUUGUGCUAAUCCUGUAUGUGCCCUUCGGGGGAAAGAUUUAUCGGUAAAGAUGAGCCCGCGUUGGAUUAGGUAGUUGGUGGGGUAAAGGCUACCAAGGCGACGAUGCAUAGCUGGUCUGAGAGGAUGAUCAGCCACAUUGGGACUGAGACACGGCCCAAACUCCUACGGGAGGCAGCAGUGGGGAAUAUUGGACAAUGGGCGCAAGCCUGAUCCAGCCAUGUCGCGUGAGUGAUGAAGGCCCUAGGGUUGUAAAGCUCUUUCACCGGGGAAGAUAAUGACGGUACUCGGAGAAGAAGCCCCGGCUAACUUCGUGCCAGCAGCCGCGGUAAU
This 417-nucleotide ribosomal RNA is filed under the name uncultured Rhizobium sp. RNAcentral's name for it is "bacterial SSU rRNA". It matches the Rfam family "Bacterial small subunit ribosomal RNA", at positions 57 to 524 of the family's 1533-position model. The record is from RNAcentral. Lineage: Bacteria; Pseudomonadati; Pseudomonadota; Alphaproteobacteria; Hyphomicrobiales; Rhizobiaceae.